UUUGGCCGAAUGUUGAGAAAGAAAAUAAGCUUUUGAGCUUUUAGGUAUUCCGCACUUUGGAGCUCAAAAUUAGAUCAAGAACAAAAGAAAACGAAAUUAGAACGGGGGAAGUCGAAAGUGGUCGAGUAGUCGAUUCCAUCCACUUGUCUUCUUCCGAGAUUUUUGGAAGCUAGUUACGAGCUCGGGGAUCUUCAAGGAAGUCCAUCACACUAUCGACCUCUAUCUCGGUAUUUUGAAAGCUCGAAAUUUUGAACAUAUGGCAUGUAUAGGCUAGUAUUUGUUUUGGUUGGUCUUGAAAAUUGUAGAUAUUUAGCUAUGCGAAAAUGGCUUGGUUUAAUGCUAAUAUGGUAAUGUUUAAGAAAUUCU
Gossypium raimondii (Peruvian cotton) is the source of this 366-nucleotide long non-coding RNA. RefSeq lists it as uncharacterized. NCBI's taxonomy places the organism in Eukaryota, Viridiplantae, Streptophyta, Magnoliopsida, Malvales, Malvaceae. The record is from RefSeq and is a predicted model, not a curated record. The transcript is spliced from 3 exons.